RNAcentral lists this ribosomal RNA (500 nucleotides) under uncultured bacterium. RNAcentral's name for it is "partial 16S ribosomal RNA". It matches the Rfam family "Bacterial small subunit ribosomal RNA", at positions 30 to 523 of the family's 1533-position model. The record is from RNAcentral.
AUUGAACGCUGCCGGAAUGCUUUACACAUGCAAGUCGAACGGCAGCACGGGGGCAACCCUGGUGGCGAGUGGCGAACGGGUGAGUAAUACAUCGGAACGUGCCCAGUCGUGGGGGAUAACGUAGCGAAAGUUACGCUAAUACCGCAUACGAUCUACGGAUGAAAGCGGGGGACCGUAAGGCCUCGCGCGGUUUGAGCGGCCGAUGUCAGAUUAGGUAGUUGGUGAGGUAAAGGCUCACCAAGCCGACGAUCUGUAGCUGGUCUGAGAGGACGACCAGCCACGCUGGGACUGAGACACGGCCCAGACUCCUACGGGAGGCAGCAGUGGGGAAUUUGGGACAAUGGGCGCAAGCCUGAUCCAGCCAUUCCGCGUGCAGGACGAAGGCCUUCGGGUUGUAAACUGCUUUUGUACAGAACGAAAAGGCUCUGGUUAAUACCUGGGGCUCAUGACGGUACCGUAAGAAUAAGCACCGGCUAACUACGUGCCAGCAGCCGCGGUAA